Molecule: ribosomal RNA, 324 nt
Filed under: uncultured eukaryote
Lineage: Eukaryota
Description: partial 18S ribosomal RNA
Rfam family: Eukaryotic small subunit ribosomal RNA
Source: RNAcentral
CCCUUAGAUGUUCUGGGCUGCACGCGCGCUACACUGAAGCUAUCAACACGUUUUCCCUCCCUGAGAAGGGCGGGUAACCUUUUGAAUCAGCUUCGUGGUCGGGAUCGGGGCUUGCAAUUGUUCCCCGUGAACCAGGAAUUCCUAGUAGACGCGAGUCAUAAGCUCGCAUCGAUUAAGUCCCUGCCCUUUGUACACACCGCCCGUCGCUACUACCGAUUGAACGUUUUAGUGAGGCAUUUGGACCGACGCAUCUCAGUUUAACCGCUGGUUUGUGUUGGAAAGACUUCCAAACUUGAGCGUUUAGAGGAAGUAAAAGUCGUAACA